Molecule: long non-coding RNA, 3528 nt
Organism: Scylla paramamosain (green mud crab)
Lineage: Eukaryota; Metazoa; Arthropoda; Malacostraca; Decapoda; Portunidae
Exons: 8
Source: RefSeq, a predicted model, not a curated record
GGCUUGACAGGAGAGAGAGACGGUUCAUCCCCCCUGUCCCUGCCUCCCUCCCUUGGUUCACCCUCCUAUCACCUCCUGCCUCUCUGUCUCCCAGUCCUCCCCUUUAUGUUCACUAGCACUCGAGAGGAAUUCCGCCUCUGGGUCUCUCUCUCUCUCUCUCUCUCUCUCUCUCUCUCUCUCUCUCUCUCUCUCUCUCUCUCUCUCAUCUACAUGCUCUUUACCUCAUUUACUUUCCCUCUCAUAACCUUCCCUUUCCUCUGCAGGAUCUCCCUCCCCUCCCCUCCUCCCCUCCUCAGAACCAAACCCUCGCUGCUCGGAGCACCAAGGAGAUGGAGAGAGGCCGGGCAAGGGCGAGGGGAUGGGGCCGACUACCGAUGCGUCGUCAGCCAGGUCUCCGGGGCACUGGGGCACGUGGGAUUCAAGUUUUUGUGGGCAUUAUCGAAGCAGGUGUUGUCAGGGUGCAACUUUCUUAUCCCGCCUGCUGGUCGUGGAGGUGGCGGUGCGUCCUUCUCUACUGGGACGCUCUGCUUAACGUGUUUCAUUAGUUCCGCAUUUUAGCGCUGGUGGAGGCGGCGGCGACGACUCAUGAUCCACGUCAGAGCACACGCUGGGUGGGACGUGCCGAGCGUGGCAAGGCAUGAUAAGCGAGGUGGUGGCGGCGUGUAGGUGACGAGGGAGGCGGCACCGCUCAUUAUCUGCCCGGACGCCCCAGGCCAUCUCACCCCGGAACCCUGCCACACCCUGGAGGCUUGUUAGCCCAGCGGGUGCUGUAAACAGUACGCUGGCGGGAGACGGGAUCGGGAUGAGUUAUCGACGACGUGAACGUGAUAGUUUGUGCAUAUUAUUAAGCUGCUGUCACAGCAAGUCAAAGAUUUCAAAGGCAUCCCGUCUCAGCAAGUGCCAAGAGGCAUUAAUUCAAUGCUUCGCUGCCACAGCGGUUUGCCUAAAAUCUAGACCCGAGUACCGGUAGGGAUCCACGAGCGACCUGGGAUUCGAUUACCAGCGGGGACCGGAGUACCGCCGGGACACGAGCACUGUGUGGAUCUCUCUCUCUCUCUCUCUCUAGUCUGAGUAGACUCCCCACGCGCUGCAGGUACUCGGAUCUGGACCCGAAUUCCACGGAUUCGCACAUGGCCCAUGCAGCGCACAGCUCGAGAAUCGAGUACAUUCUUUGUUCUGAUAAUGAGAUGGAGCUAACAUAGACACCACAGAAGAGGAGGAGAAGGAAUAACUGGAGUAUUAGUAACACAGGGAGAAUGCACACAUCAUCAGGGGAAAAUUCUCUGAUGUUGGGUGUUACGCUGCUGCUAAAGGCAAGGCAUGACAGGAAAUUACAAGCCUCCUUGCUGCGCACCUAAAUGGCGAUGAACAUUCAGCCAAUGAAUGCCAGAAGAGAUGGCAAGACAGUUCAGUCUGCCAUCAAGGCCAACAGGGCAGAAUUCAUUAAGGCCCAACAUGGAGCAUGUGAGCAGGGGUACCAUCCAGUGUGAGGUCAAAUGGGAGUGGUGAACAGCUUAAAGUCCACAGCCAGCAACCUAACUUCUGCAAAACAAGAUAAUUCCUCCUGCAAAAGUGACAACACUGACACAAAUUUCCAGAGCCAUGUCUUUGGAGGAACAAACAGGAAGGUUCUCAAGGACAAGAGAAGUAAUAAAAGACAAAUUACAGGUAUUACACUCACGAGCUUUGAGGUACCACGAAGGUAAGCCUUGAUGUAGAACUCCGAGAACAGGAAGAAGAACAUAACGGCAUGACCUCCAAUCCACCACAUGAAGGCACGAGGGUAGUGACACUCAGUGAAGCACAGCUGGAAACGACAAAUUGGUGUUUGUAUUUUAUAAGAUCAGUUAAGUAAUUUUUUUUCUUGUUCUUAUUUUGGGAAAACAAUAAAAAAUAAAUUCAAAAUACAUCAUAACCUUAAUAUUUAUUCUUUCUUGUCAUAUUCUUUCCAUAGAAACUUUGACACCUUUGAUGCUCCUUGUUCUUGCCUGUUUGUCACUUAAAAGAAUAAGUAUGUGAGAGGGUUGUGGUGUGUAACUGCGGUUUGCAAACAAUGUGUGUCUAACACCAGAGAGAAUGGUAGUUUAUUUUAAUUUAUUUUGUGUCCAAACUUGUCUCUGUUGCUCCUUUUUAUGGGGGAAUCUCUGCAUGGUGUAAACAGAAAUCUACACUCACCUCACGAGCUCCAUAAGGUUACGUUCAUUAAUUUUACGCGUAAGGUGAAUAUUGCUUACUUUUAAUAAUAGUGUAACCUACACAAGUCAGCAUGAUAGGGGUUCAUCCUUUGCUGAUAAAUCAAAAUUAUGACUUGCACAUAUCACUAAAACCCCUUGUAAACCUCUCCUGCAGGCACAGGAUCUUCAGUUUCAUCCCCUUCUUCCUUUACACCUUGCUCCAUGGAUAGGAUGAUAAAGGUCUUGUUUAUGAUUUGUUUUUGAGGUCUGAUCUCAUUUCUCUCAAAUAUAAAUAAAUUUUCCUUGAAAUACUUUUUCUCUCUUCUUCCAAAAACUACACAGUAUUUCUUUCGUUGUUUCAAUGUUAGUAUUGUAUGUAGUUGUUGGGGCAAGAGUGAGGCUUCACUCAUAAUCUCUCUUCCUAGUAGCCAUGUAUACCCACAUACAAACUUUGUUUACCUGCAGUAGCUUGAUUCAAGUGAAAGGAAAUGGAUAAGAGAAAAAGAUGGAUGAGACAAUCCACUUACGUAGAAAUGAAUAUAAAAUUAUUGGUGAGCUCCUUUCUGACAACAGUAAAUACUAUAAUUUUUGGAAGGAAGGAGAAAAGUACAAGGAAAGUUAAGUGAUAUUUGAGAGAAAUGAGAGCCUUUGCAAAGUCUAGACCUCCCAACCUUCAAACAGAACCAGAAUCAGUAGCCCUUCUUAGCAUUAUGUCCUCAUACCAAGGUGUAAGGGAAUGAAACUGAAUACCUGCAGAAGGUGGUUCCACAGAGUUUUUCCAAGUCAGCAAAGGUUGAGUUCGUAGCAUGCCAGCUUACGACUCAUUGCAAAUUCCUUCUAAGUGCAUCCUUUAUGAACUCCACACAUUUAACCCAUUUGCUCAAUUGCUCAAAACAUUUUUGAAGUCAUAUUCAGGAAUGACAACAACACUAUCAUGUCUUCUCAACUCUUAUUUAAAUUAGUACUCUUUCAGCAGCAUCUUCAACUUUAGAACUGCUAAAAAUUACAGGAAGCCAUGCCAAGGGAGUGGAGAAUUUGAUAAAUCUGGAAAAUACAUUGCUUAGCCAAGAAAUCCUAGAUCAGGUGUGUAGAAUGAGCUGGACACUAUCUUGAAUCAGGCUUCCUGCAGCUGCAUCAUAAUACACCAGACUGAACCAAUAUUUCUUUGCUAAGUAUUAAAUAUUUAAGUUUUGCUAGACUCUUUUCUCAUCAUGACAUAAUUUCUGACUGUUCUCUAAAGAUGGAGAUGCUGCUGAUGAGGUUGUUUUGAAAGUUUGUAACAAGGGAAGGACUAAUGGUCUAAGUGUUAAGCCACAAGGGACCAAACUCAAUGGAUAUUAUAGACAGAAUUCUA